AGUCAGACGGCAUGGACUUCCGGUCACGGUGGCGAGUGGCGAACGGGUGAGCAAUCAUCGGAACGUGCUAGUAGCGGGGAUAACUACGCGAAAGCGUAGCCUAAUACUUUCGCCCUUCAGGGAAGCGGGGGACCUUCCGGGCCUCGCACUAUUGAAACGGCCGAUAUCGGAUUAGCUAGUUGGUGGAAGGUAACGGCUCACCAAGGCGGCGAUCCGUAGCUGGUUUGAGGACGACCAGCCACGCACAGGACUGAGACACAGCCCAGACUCCUGGGAGGCAGCAGUGGGAAUUUUGGACAAUGGAAACCACAGAUCCAGCCAUCCCCCGCGUGUGCGAUGGCCUUCGGGUUGUAAAGCACUUUUGGCGGGAAAGAACGGCGGGAUAUGCCGUGCAGCUGACCAGUACCUGCAGAAUAAGCACCAACUACAACUUCACGUGCCUUGGCCACCCGGGCGGUAAUACGUAGGGUGCAAGCGUUAAUCGGAAUUACUGGGCGUAAAGCGUGCGCAGGCGGUUCCGGAAAGAAAGAUGUGAAAUCCCAGGCUUAACUUUGGAACACAUUUAACUACCGGGCUAGAGUGUCAGAGGUGGAAUUCCCGUGGCGGUGAAAUGCGUAGAUAUCGAACACCGAUGUGAGAAGCAGCCUCCUGGGAUAGCACUGACGCUCAUACUGUAGCGUGGGGAGGCAAGCAGGAUUGAAUGCCCUGUUGCUGGUCGCCCUCUUGAUGUCCGGCGCUGGCUGUUUGGGGCGCUGAGCCUUGGUAGCGCAACUAACGCGUGAGAUUGACUGCCUGGGAGGUACGGUCAUAAAUUAAAACUCAAAGGAAUUGGCAGAGGACCCGCUGACGGUGGAUGAUGUGGAUUAAUUCCGUUAUAGCGAAAAAAACCGCCCCUACUACAUGUAUGUCUGAGAUCCCGAAGAGAUUGGAGUGCUCGCAAGAGAGCCGGAACUACAGGUGCUGCGUGUGUCGUCAGCUCGUGUCGUGAGAUGUUGGAGUUAAGUCCCACAACGAGCACAGCCCUUGUCAUUAGAUUUGCUACCCGAAGGGCACUCUAUUGAGACUGCCGGUGACAAACCGGAGGAAGGUGAGGAUGACGUCAGUCCUCAUGUUAUAUGGGUAGGGCUUCACAUCGCCACAAUGGUCGGGACAGAGAUUAAGCCAACCCCGCGAAGACCAAUCCCAGAAGCGAUCUGGUCCGGAUCGCAGUCUGCAACUCGACUGCGUAGAAGUCGGAAUCCUUUAGUAAUCGCGGAUCAGCAUGUCGCGGUGAACUCGUUCCCAGGGUCUUGGCCACACACCGCCCACGUCACACCAUGGGAGUGGGUUUUGCAGAAGUAGUUGGCCCUAACCGUAAGGAGGGCGAUUACCACAGUGGAUUCAUGACUGGGGUGAAGUCAUGCUGGAUAG
Molecule: ribosomal RNA, 1410 nt
Filed under: uncultured Bordetella sp.
Lineage: Bacteria; Pseudomonadati; Pseudomonadota; Betaproteobacteria; Burkholderiales; Alcaligenaceae
Description: partial 16S-23S ribosomal RNA intergenic spacer
Rfam family: Bacterial small subunit ribosomal RNA
Source: RNAcentral